AUUGAACGCUGGCGGCAUGCCUUACACAUGCAAGUCGAACGGCAGCGGGCCUUCGGGUGCCGGCGAGUGGCGAACGGGUGAGUAAUGCAUCGGAACGUGCCAUUGAGUGGGGGAUAACGUAGCGAAAGUUGCGCUAAUACCGCAUAUUCUGUGAGCAGGAAAGCAGGGGACCGCAAGGCCUUGCGCUCUUUGAGCGGCCGAUGUCAGAUUAGCUAGUUGGUGAGGUAACGGCUUACCAAGGCGACGAUCUGUAGCGGGUCUGAGAGGAUGAUCCGCCACACUGGAACUGAGACACGGUCCAGACUCCUACGGGAGGCAGCAGUCUAGAAGCUUCGGCAAUGGGCGAAAGCCUGACCGAGCGACGCCGCGUGCAGGACGAAGGUCUUCGGAUUGUAAAGCUCUUUCGGCCGGGAAGAAAUCGCAUGGGUUAAUACCCUGUGCGGAUGACGGUACCGGCAUAAGAAGCACCGGCUAACUACGUG
Molecule: ribosomal RNA, 482 nt
Filed under: uncultured bacterium
Lineage: Bacteria
Description: bacterial SSU rRNA
Rfam family: Bacterial small subunit ribosomal RNA
Source: RNAcentral